Molecule: small nuclear RNA, 108 nt
Filed under: Erinaceus europaeus (western European hedgehog)
Lineage: Eukaryota; Metazoa; Chordata; Mammalia; Eulipotyphla; Erinaceidae
Source: RNAcentral
GUGCUUGCUUCGGCAGCACAUCUACUAAAAAUUGGAACCGUGCAGAGAAGAUUAGCAUGGCCCCUGUACGAGGAUGACACACAAAUUCCUGAAGCGUUCCAUAUUUCU